AACGAACGCUGGCGGCAUGCCUAACACAUGCAAGUCGAACGAGACCUUCGGGUCUAGUGGCGCACGGGUGCGUAACGCGUGGGAACCUGCCCUUAGGUUUGGAAUAACUCCCCGAAAGGGGUGCUAAUACCGGAUCAUGUCUUCGGACCAAAGAUUUAUCGCCUUUGGAUGGGCCCGCGUUGGAUUAGCUAGUUGGUAGGGUAAAAGCCUACCAAGGCGACGAUCCAUAGCUGGGCGGAGAGGAUGAUCAGCCACACUGGGACUGAGACACGGCCCAGACUCCGACGGGAGGCAGCAGUAGGGAAUAUAGGACGAGGGGCGAAAGCCUGAUCCAGCAAUGCCGCGUGAGUGAGGAAGGCCUUAGGAUUGUAAAGCUCUUUUACCCGGGAUGAGAAUGACAGUACCGGGAGAAGAAGCUCCGGCUAACUCCGUG
Molecule: ribosomal RNA, 433 nt
Filed under: uncultured bacterium
Lineage: Bacteria
Description: partial 16S ribosomal RNA
Rfam family: Bacterial small subunit ribosomal RNA
Source: RNAcentral